GACGAACGCUGGCGGCGUGCUUAACACAUGCAAGUCGAACGGAAAGGCCCUGCUUUUGUGGGGUGCUCGAGUGGCGAACGGGUGAGUAACACGUGAGUAACCUGCCCUUGACUUUGGGAUAACUUCAGGAAACUGGGGCUAAUACCGGAUAGGAGCUCCUGCUGCAUGGUGGGGGUUGGAAAGUUUCGGCGGUUGGGGAUGGACUCGCGGCUUAUCAGCUUGUUGGUGGGGUAGUGGCUUACCAAGGCUUUGACGGGUAGCCGGCCUGAGGGGGUGACCGGCCACAUUGGGACUGAGAUACGGCCCAGACUCCUACGGGAGGCAGCAGUGGGGAAUAUUGCACAAUGGGCGGAAGCCUGAUGCAGCAACGCCGCGUGCGGGAUGACGGCCUUCGGGUUGUAAACCGCUUUCGCCUGUGACGAAGCGUGAGUGACGGUAAUGGGUAAAGAAGCACCGGCUAACUACGUGCCAGCAGCCGCGGUGAUACGUAGGGUGCGAGCGUUGUCCGGAUUUAUUGGGCGUAAAGGGCUCGUAGGUGGUUGAUCGCGUCGGAAGUGUAAUCUUGGGGCUUAACCCUGAGCGUGCUUUCGAUACGGGUUGACUUGAGGAAGGUAGGGGAGAAUGGAAUUCCUGGUGGAGCGGUGGAAUGCGCAGAUAUCAGGAGGAACACCAGUGGCGAAGGCGGUUCUCUGGGCCUUUCCUGACGCUGAGGAGCGAAAGCGUGGGGAGCGAACAGGCUUAGAUACCCUGGUAGUCCACGCUGUAAACGGUGGGUACUAGGUGUGGGGUCCAUUCCACGGGUUCCGUGCCGUAGCUAACGCUUUAAGUACCCCGCCUGGGGAGUACGGCCGCAAGGCUAAAACUCAAAGGAAUUGACGGGGCCCCGCACAAGCGGCGGAGCAUGCGGAUUAAUUCGAUGCAACGCGUAGAACCUUACCUGGGUUUGACAUGGAUCGGGAGCGCUCAGAGAUGGGUGUGCCUCUUUUGGGGUCGGUUCACAGGUGGUGCAUGGCUGUCGUCAGCUCGUGUCGUGAGAUGUUGGGUUAAGUCCCGCAACGAGCGCAACCCUUGUUCACUGUUGCCAGCACGUUAUGGUGGGGACUCAGUGGAGACCGCCGGGGUCAACUCGGAGGAAGGUGGGGAUGACGUCAAGUCAUCAUGCCCCUUAUGUCCAGGGCUUCACGCAUGCUACAAUGGCUGGUACAGAGAGUGGCGAGCCUGUGAGGGUGAGCGAAUCUCGGAAAGCCGGUCUCAGUUCGGAUUGGGGUCUGCAACUCGACCUCAUGAAGUCGGAGUCGCUAGUAAUCGCAGAUCAGCAACGCUGCGGUGAAUACGUUCCCGGG
This 1343-nucleotide ribosomal RNA is filed under the name uncultured bacterium. RNAcentral describes it as "16S ribosomal RNA". It matches the Rfam family "Bacterial small subunit ribosomal RNA", at positions 28 to 1378 of the family's 1533-position model. The record is from RNAcentral.